Acanthochromis polyacanthus (spiny chromis) is the source of this 1747-nucleotide long non-coding RNA. RefSeq lists it as uncharacterized. Lineage: Eukaryota; Metazoa; Chordata; Actinopteri; Pomacentridae. The transcript is spliced from 5 exons. The record is from RefSeq and is a predicted model, not a curated record.
CAAAGUGCUCUCUGUGUCGGCCGGAGCUCCCCCGCUUUACUGGUGCUGAUCGGCCGUGUUCAGGCGCAGCACGUCGGCCGCUCAGUGUGAUUAAUCACCGCGUUAAACGGCGCAGCGGAGCGUCCCUGAGGCUGACCGGGACCCCGGGGCCAGCCGUGCCGCCCCGGGUCAGCAUCCACCGGUAGCAAAUGAAAGAGUGGAGAAAAGUCAUCAUCCGUCACAUCUGGUUUGCAUUAAGGCCGAGCCAGGCCUGAUGGCUCCUGCUGCUGGAGUGUCUGAGGCUUUGACGGCGGCUCUUGUGUCGUGCGGCGUUGGCGUCCGCGACGGUGCCAGGCGGCAUGUGUGGUCAACUGGGAGGCUGCAGGAGGAGCGAAGAAGAGGCCACGGGUCGAAGCAGAAGCCCCCCGUUUUGGUUCAAGUGCAAACGGAUGGAUGGAUGGAUGAUUCUUUAUUAAUCCUCAGGGACAUUCAAGUGUUCAGCAGCUUACAUACAAAAACAUCAAUAACAGAAAGACAGGACAAGCAGGACAGAGCUGCAAUUACAGCUCAGGAGAGAAGAAGACCAGCUGUGCAGGAGAAACUCAGGGCUGCAGACCGGAGUGGUGGGAAGUCAAAGAUGAGGGCGCCCCUCAGAGGUUCUCCAGCCACGCAUAGAUCCUACUCAUCAUGACAUCCAUGUCCAGAGCAGUGAUGACUUCGUUCUGCUUAAAACCAUCUUCACCAACUUCAGUCUCAUCUUGGGACUUGAAGAAGUCAUCCUGAUGGACCACGCAGCAGUUGGGCAGGUUCUUGAUCGGGCGGUUGCUGAGGCUGAUUUUCCCUCCAUUGGUUUUCCCUCCAUGUCGAUGAUGUACUUCAUGUUCUCGGAUUGGUCAAAGCUCGGAAAAAGGGUCAAAAACGUCAACAAAAACUGGGUCUGGAGUGAUGGACAUGGAAGAAAGCUGAAAAAGUGAAGGUUGGAGCAGGAAACGUCAUCUACUGGAGUCCUCCAUUGCACUUGAGUUUAGUGAGUAAGGUAAGAGCAGAAACGGAGCUGCCACUCAGACGCUGUUGUUCCACCCAGAGACGACCUCUUUCAGUUGUGGCUGCUACACAUACUGCCCUAGUUGAGGUUUCAGGUGGAAUAUUCCUUUUAACCAGCACCUCAGGUCUCUUUGAGGAUUUUGGAUGGAAUAUUCGGUUAAACCAACAUUUUAGGUGCAUGUCCAGGGAUUUUUGGUGGAAUGUUCCUUUAAGGUGGAUGUGUGAGGACCUUGUAGGUGGAAUACUUCCUGAAACCAACCUUUUAGGUCAACAUUCAAAGAUUUAAGGUGGAAUAUUCCUUUAAACCAACCUAAAUUUCAUGUUUUGAUCAUUAUCAAGUGAGAAACCUCAAUCCAGACUCCUCAUAAAGACAUUUGAGAUUUAUGCUGCUGUUAUUUGUUUAGUCCAGACGAAAUGACAGAAAUCCACAACUGUAAUUUUAUUUCAGGACUCGGUUAUUAAAUGUCAAAACAAUCCAUGUGACUAAAAACUCAACAGCUUUACAAACUCUAAGAUUAAACUCUCCACAAGGAUCCAAAAUAAGUUGGACUUCUACAUGAGAGUUUUAGUUAUUCUUCAUCUACUUCCUGAAAAGUUUGGUCACUAAAAAAGACAAAAACUAAUAUUUUCAGCUGAACUAAAGACAGACUUUGUGAUUUUUCUGCUCACAUGUUGUGUUGUAAACUUACUCUUUCAAAUAAAUAGCUGCCUAACCCACUGGAAA